CCUACGGGAGGCAGCAGUGAGGAAUAUUGGUCAAUGGGCGGGAGCCUGAACCAGCCAAGUCGCGUGAGGGAAGACGGUCCUACGGAUUGUAAACCUCUUUUGCCGGGGAGCAACGGGGUCCUUGCGAGGGCCCAAUGAGAGUACCCGGAGAAAAAGCAUCGGCUAACUCCGUGCCAGCAGCCGCGGUAAUACGGAGGAUGCGAGCGUUAUCCGGAUUUAUUGGGUUUAAAGGGUGCGUAGGCGGGCUGUUAAGUCAGCGGUCAAAUGGCGGGGCUCAAACCCGGCCUGCCGUUGAAACUGGCGGCCUAGAGUGGGCGAGAGGUAUGCGGAAUGCGUGGUGUAGUGGUGAAAUGCAUAGAUAUCACGAAGAACUCCGAUGGCGAAGGCAGCAUACCGGCGCCCUACUGACGCUGAGGCACGAAAGCGUGGGUAGCGAACAGGAUUAGAUACCCGGGUAGUC
This 460-nucleotide ribosomal RNA is filed under the name uncultured bacterium. Its description in RNAcentral is "partial 16S ribosomal RNA". It matches the Rfam family "Bacterial small subunit ribosomal RNA", at positions 338 to 795 of the family's 1533-position model. The record is from RNAcentral.